UUUCUACUCCCUCCGUUCGGAAUUACUUGUCGCAGAAAUGGACGUAUCUAGACGUAUUUUAGUUCUAGAUACAUCCAUUUCCGAGACAAGUAAUUCCGAACGGAGGGAGUAUAUG
Non-coding RNA from Triticum aestivum (bread wheat), 115 nucleotides. The record is from Rfam. Lineage: Eukaryota; Viridiplantae; Streptophyta; Magnoliopsida; Poales; Poaceae.